Molecule: ribosomal RNA, 437 nt
Filed under: uncultured bacterium
Lineage: Bacteria
Description: partial 16S ribosomal RNA
Rfam family: Bacterial small subunit ribosomal RNA
Source: RNAcentral
AGCGAACGCUGGCGGCAGGCUUAACACAUGCAAGUCGAGCGGGCAUCCUUGUGGUGUCAGCGGCAGACGGGUGAGUAACGCGUGGGAACGUGCCCUUCGGUUCGGAAUAACUCAGGGAAACUUGAGCUAAUACCGGAUACGUGCGAGAGCAGAAAGGUUUAUCUGCCGAAGGAUCGGCCCGCGUCUGAUUAGCUAGUUGGUGAGGUUACGGCUCACCAAGGCGACGAUCAGUAGCUGGUCAGAGAGGAUGAUCAGCCACACUGGGACUGAGACACGGCCCAGACUCCUACGGGAGGCAGCAGUGGGGAAUAUUGGACAAUGGGGGCAACCCUGAUCCAGCCAUGCCGCGUGAGUGAUGACGGCCUUAGGGUUGUAAAGCUCUUUUCUCCGGGACGAUAAUGACGGUACCGGAGGAAUAAGCCCCGGCUAACUUCGUG